This 1271-nucleotide long non-coding RNA is filed under the name Scleropages formosus (Asian bonytongue). RNAcentral describes it as "lncRNA (ENSSFOG00015031886.1)". Lineage: Eukaryota; Metazoa; Chordata; Actinopteri; Osteoglossiformes; Osteoglossidae. The record is from RNAcentral.
GGAAUCUCAACGUUUCUUGGUGGAGCUGUUGUCAGGGGGACUUUGGGUCACGUACUGCUGACUCCCAAGCUCUCCGUGGUCUUGUUUGAAGAAGUAGACAGAUUUACGGAGUACCGGCUUCUAGUACUUUCUUUAAAACACUAUUGCAAGAACUCAUUAUUACUACAUGAGAUCAAGAAGUGUCACAAGGCAGAAAAAGCACAAGACAUUUUAGUUGCUGUCGUGUUCUGGAAUGUGGCUACGAAUCAGUACAAUUGUAAGGAAAUGGAGGAAUCUGCUCACUCUGCAAGACAUUUGACAUCACUGAGGCAUGUAUUUCAAAUUGAAAUUUGUGUUUUUGUAUUUGAUUUAUUAAAAAUGAGACAAUUACUAAGCUACACAUCACCGUUACAACUUUGAAAUCUUGUUAAAGGGCCCUUCAUUGUAAAAGAGAAGUGUAGUCAUAACUCAUGCAAGGUAUUUUUGAUUUAAAAAUAUCUUUGAAUUGAAAUAAUAAUGAAAACUUAGAAAAUUGUGAAAAGUUAUGUAUUCAGUCUGUAUCUUAAAAUCAUCAUGCUGGUGCUGUCCCCAGAUAUCAGAGCUCACAUGGGUUUAUCAUAUUUGUUCAUCACUUUUUCUCACAGUUUUACAGCAUAUUAUUGCACAUAAGAUGAACUGCAUCUGUUUUGUUGCUGGGUUUUGCUGAUAUUUGCUGCGGAGGAAAUUACGAUGAAGUGAAAUGGGGUUAUGGGAGAUGAGAUGAGGUCGAUGAAUAGGAUGAGAAGCAAGGCCUACGGAGCUGGAGAAAAUGAAUGCGAGAAAAUGCAGUCUAAGUACUUUGAAGUCUGAAGGCAGAGAAGGUCAAAAAGAAUGAGGAAAAAUAGCUCUAAUAUGAUUCAAAUGCAUAUUCAUGGAAACGCAGCACAGUUCUAUGGGAUCAAUAAGCUCUACAGAAGAAAAUAAGGUAGCGUAGCUCAAAAUGGUCUUGACCACACAACUGGCUUCUCGUGAGAACGGCUACACGUGAAGAGGACGCCACGGGGACAGUGAUGGGGACUGUCUUAAAAGACCUGGGAAUUCUAUGUUUGGGAAAAAGGACCUUAACCUUUUCCAAGCUGUGGGCCUCGUGAAUCUGAUGAAAGUGAAGGACUCCUGCUAGAAAAAUAACGUAAAUAAGUAUUGUAACGACCCACGUUACCGCGAGUUUCAGUGAGAAACCCGUUUAUUGUAAAUAGUUGCAUUAUGGGAAAAAUGUGAAUAAAGUUUGCAACCACUGGAGGGAAUUAAAGGAA